Molecule: non-coding RNA, 23 nt
Filed under: Cricetulus griseus (Chinese hamster)
Lineage: Eukaryota; Metazoa; Chordata; Mammalia; Rodentia; Cricetidae
Source: RNAcentral
CACGUUGGCCAGGCUGGUGUCCA